UGUAGUCUCGCACAGAUGCAUAUCAAUAAGCGGAGGAAAAGAAACUAACAAGGAUUCCCCUAGUAACGGCGAGUGAAGCGGGAAGAGCUCAAAUUUGAAAUCUUAAAGGGUUUCCCUUUACGAAUUGUAGUUUAAAGAAGUGUUUUCUGUUGAGGUUUUGGUAAAAGUUCUUUGGAAUAGGACAUCAUAGAGGGUGAGAAUCCCGUAUUUGACCUUUACUUUCAACUUUGUGAUACACUUUCAAAGAGUCGGAUUGUUUGGGAAUGCAGUCCAAAAUGGGUGGUAAAUUUCAUCUAAAGCUAAAUAUUGGCGAGAGACCGAUAGCGAACAAGUACCGUGAGGGAAAGAUGAAAAGAACUUUGAAAAGAGAGUUAAACAGUACGUGAAAUUGUCAAAAGGGAAGCGUUUGACACCAGUGUUGUUUUUCUGAAAAUCAAUUAAAGAACUGUUUAUGCUAAGUUGUUUAGACUUUAUCAGCUAACUGUUUAGUUUUGAGCUUUUCUUUAAUGCACUUUUCAGUUAACAAGUCAACAUCAAUUUCUUUUGCUGUAAAAAAGCUUGAGGAAGGUGGCUUGAGAUUCGUCUUAAGUGUUUAUAGCCUCUUGCCUAUGCAGUCGGAGAGAUUGAGGUCUGCAGCGUAGAUCCUUCGGGGCUAAAUGCAUUUGUGCUAAGUUAUAAGCAUUUUAUAGACAACUUGUUGACUAUGAUUUGUCUUGUAGCUUACUCGCUUAUGUUAUUUUACCUACGCUUAGGAUGUUGACGCAUGAGAUAUACGC
Molecule: ribosomal RNA, 776 nt
Filed under: uncultured Neocallimastigales
Lineage: Eukaryota; Fungi; Neocallimastigomycota; Neocallimastigomycetes; Neocallimastigales
Description: partial large subunit ribosomal RNA
Rfam family: Eukaryotic large subunit ribosomal RNA
Source: RNAcentral